UCGUGAGGUUCAAGUCCCUCUAUCCCCA
This 28-nucleotide transfer RNA is filed under the name Aechmea maasii. RNAcentral's name for it is "partial tRNA-Leu". The record is from RNAcentral. Lineage: Eukaryota; Viridiplantae; Streptophyta; Magnoliopsida; Poales; Bromeliaceae.